AAUGAGUGGGGUCAGGGAGCAGCUUGGCUGUGUAUGUGUGUGUGUGUGUGUGUGUGUGUGUGUGUGUAUAUAUAUAUAUACACACACACACACACACACACACACACACACACAAACCCCAGUCAUUUAGAUGAGUCUUUACCUACAC
Molecule: non-coding RNA, 148 nt
Organism: Podarcis lilfordi (Lilford's wall lizard)
Lineage: Eukaryota; Metazoa; Chordata; Lepidosauria; Squamata; Lacertidae
Source: the annotation of a GenBank genome assembly